CAUUAAUAAAACAAGGGGGGGGUUCAAAAGACACCCCCGGGGGCGCGGUGGAUCAACACCCCCUAGGGUCAUUCCGGGGCUGUCCCACGCGUCUUAUUUUUCCACCCGGUGCGUACCUACACAUUAAGCUUGCUUUGGCGGCAAUUCUCCGUCCAGGGGACCAAAAACUCGAUGUAUCCGUGACGUCCGAGUGAUAUAUAAUAACUAAAACUUUCAACAACGGAUCUCUUGGUUCUGGCAUCGAUGAAGAACGCAGCGAAAUGCGAUAAGUAAUGUGAAUUGCAGAAUUCAGUGAAUCAUCGAAUCUUUGAACGCACAUUGCGCCUCCUGGAAAUUCCGGAAGGCAUACCUGUUCGAGCGUCAUUGACAACCUUCAAGCUUUCCCGCUUGGCGUUGGGCAUCGUCCGUCCGGGACGUGCCUUAAAAUCAGUGACGGUCCAGGUGAUUUUUAAACGCAUUAAACAAAUCUCGUUUGAAAAAUCGCCUGCGGCCAGUCGGUUCCAUCAUCACCUAAAUGAUUGACCUCGGAUCAGGUAGGGAUACCCGCUGAACUUAAGCAUAUCAAUAAGCGGAGGAAAAGAAACCAACAGGGAUUGCCUCAGUAACGGCGAGUGAAGCGGCAACAGCUCAAAUUUGAAAUCUGACCCCUUUGGGGCCCGAGUUGUAAUUUGUAGAGGGUGCUUCGGGCGUGGCCUAGGUCUAAGUUCCUUGGAACAGGACGUCAUAGAGGGUGAGAAUCCCGUAUGCGACCGGCGAUCCAGCCCAUGUGAAGCCCCUUCGACGAGUCGAGUUGUUUGGGAAUGCAGCUCAAAAUGGGUGGUAAAUUUCAUCUAAAGCUAAAUACCGGCCAGAGACCGAUAGCGAACAAGUAGAGUGAUCGAAAGAUGAAAAGCACUUUGAAAAGAGAGUUAAAAAGUACGUGAAAUUGUUGAAAGGGAAGCGCUUGCAAUCAGACCUGCCCGGGGGUGAGCGGUCGGGGCUCAGUUUCCCGACCAUCCAUUCACCCCCGAUCGGGCCAGCAUCGGUUUGGGCGGCGAGAUAAAAGCCUCGGGAAUGUAGCUUCUUUCGGGGAGUCUUAUAGCCCGGGGCGCAAUGUUGCCAGCCUGGACCGAGGACCGCG
This 1120-nucleotide small RNA is filed under the name Nephroma helveticum. RNAcentral's name for it is "eukaryotic LSU rRNA". The stretch from base 520 to 1120 matches the Rfam family "Eukaryotic large subunit ribosomal RNA", at positions 1 to 599 of the family's 3401-position model. The record is from RNAcentral. Lineage: Eukaryota; Fungi; Ascomycota; Lecanoromycetes; Peltigerales; Nephromataceae.